This 115-nucleotide ribosomal RNA is filed under the name Alphaproteobacteria bacterium. The record is from RNAcentral. Lineage: Bacteria; Pseudomonadati; Pseudomonadota; Alphaproteobacteria.
CCUGGUGGCUAUGGCGAGGGGAGCCCACCCGAUCCCAUCUCGAACUCGGCCGUGAAGACCCUCAGCGCCGAUGGUACUGCGUCUUAAGGCGUGGGAGAGUAGGUCGUUGCCAGGU